This 89-nucleotide small RNA is filed under the name Marmota monax (woodchuck). Lineage: Eukaryota; Metazoa; Chordata; Mammalia; Rodentia; Sciuridae. The record is from RNAcentral.
GCCAGGUAUGGUGGCCCACACCUGUAAUCCCAGUGACUUGGGAGGCUGAGGCAGGAGGAUUACAAAUUUGAGCAAUCCUCUGGCCUCUG